This 1473-nucleotide ribosomal RNA is filed under the name Lactiplantibacillus plantarum. RNAcentral's name for it is "bacterial SSU rRNA". It matches the Rfam family "Bacterial small subunit ribosomal RNA". The record is from RNAcentral. Lineage: Bacteria; Bacillati; Bacillota; Bacilli; Lactobacillales; Lactobacillaceae.
CCCGGGGGGGGGUGCUAUACAUGCAAGUCGAACGAACUCUGGUAUUGAUUGGUGCUUGCAUCAUGAUUUACAUUUGAGUGAGUGGCGAACUGGUGAGUAACACGUGGGAAACCUGCCCAGAAGCGGGGGAUAACACCUGGAAACAGAUGCUAAUACCGCAUAACAACUUGGACCGCAUGGUCCGAGUUUGAAAGAUGGCUUCGGCUAUCACUUUUGGAUGGUCCCGCGGCGUAUUAGCUAGAUGGUGGGGUAACGGCUCACCAUGGCAAUGAUACGUAGCCGACCUGAGAGGGUAAUCGGCCACAUUGGGACUGAGACACGGCCCAAACUCCUACGGGAGGCAGCAGUAGGGAAUCUUCCACAAUGGACGAAAGUCUGAUGGAGCAACGCCGCGUGAGUGAAGAAGGGUUUCGGCUCGUAAAACUCUGUUGUUAAAGAAGAACAUAUCUGAGAGUAACUGUUCAGGUAUUGACGGUAUUUAACCAGAAAGCCACGGCUAACUACGUGCCAGCAGCCGCGGUAAUACGUAGGUGGCAAGCGUUGUCCGGAUUUAUUGGGCGUAAAGCGAGCGCAGGCGGUUUUUUAAGUCUGAUGUGAAAGCCUUCGGCUCAACCGAAGAAGUGCAUCGGAAACUGGGAAACUUGAGUGCAGAAGAGGACAGUGGAACUCCAUGUGUAGCGGUGAAAUGCGUAGAUAUAUGGAAGAACACCAGUGGCGAAGGCGGCUGUCUGGUCUGUAACUGACGCUGAGGCUCGAAAGUAUGGGUAGCAAACAGGAUUAGAUACCCUGGUAGUCCAUACCGUAAACGAUGAAUGCUAAGUGUUGGAGGGUUUCCGCCCUUCAGUGCUGCAGCUAACGCAUUAAGCAUUCCGCCUGGGGAGUACGGCCGCAAGGCUGAAACUCAAAGGAAUUGACGGGGGCCCGCACAAGCGGUGGAGCAUGUGGUUUAAUUCGAAGCUACGCGAAGAACCUUACCAGGUCUUGACAUACUAUGCAAAUCUAAGAGAUUAGACGUUCCCUUCGGGGACAUGGAUACAGGUGGUGCAUGGUUGUCGUCAGCUCGUGUCGUGAGAUGUUGGGUUAAGUCCCGCAACGAGCGCAACCCUUAUUAUCAGUUGCCAGCAUUAAGUUGGGCACUCUGGUGAGACUGCCGGUGACAAACCGGAGGAAGGUGGGGAUGACGUCAAAUCAUCAUGCCCCUUAUGACCUGGGCUACACACGUGCUACAAUGGAUGGUACAACGAGUUGCGAACUCGCGAGAGUAAGCUAAUCUCUUAAAGCCAUUCUCAGUUCGGAUUGUAGGCUGCAACUCGCCUACAUGAAGUCGGAAUCGCUAGUAAUCGCGGAUCAGCAUGCCGCGGUGAAUACGUUCCCGGGCCUUGUACACACCGCCCGUCACACCAUGAGAGUUUGUAACACCCAAAGUCGGUGGGGUAACCUUUUAGGAACCAGCCGCCUAAGGUGGAACAAAGU